This 253-nucleotide ribosomal RNA is filed under the name uncultured bacterium. RNAcentral describes it as "partial 16S ribosomal RNA". It matches the Rfam family "Bacterial small subunit ribosomal RNA", at positions 524 to 776 of the family's 1533-position model. The record is from RNAcentral.
UACGUAGGCAGCGAGCGUUGUUCGGAGUUACUGGGCGUAAAGGGCGUGCAGGCGGUCUGUUAAGUGCAGGGUGAAAGCUCCCGGCUCAACUGGGAGAGGUCCUUGCAUACUGGCGGACUUGAGGGGGGUAGAGGAAAGUGGAAUUCCCGGUGUAGUGGUGAUAUGCGUAGAUAUCGGGAGGAACACCUGUGGCGAAGGCGGCUUUCUGGGCCCUACCUGACGCUGAGACGCGAAAGCGUGGGGAGCGAACCGG